This 820-nucleotide ribosomal RNA is filed under the name uncultured Bacteroidota bacterium. Its description in RNAcentral is "bacterial SSU rRNA". It matches the Rfam family "Bacterial small subunit ribosomal RNA", at positions 81 to 898 of the family's 1533-position model. Lineage: Bacteria; Pseudomonadati; Bacteroidota. The record is from RNAcentral.
CAUAAAGGCCAUAGUUGGCGCACGGGCUGCGUAAUGCGUAUGCAACCNUACCCAUCAAAGGGGGAUAGCCCGGGGAAACCCGGAUUAAUACCGCAUAAGAUCAGAGAGUGGCAUCACUUUCUGCUGAAACAUUUAUGGUUGAUGGAUGGGCAUGCGUAAGAUUAGCUAGUUGGUGAGGUAAUGGCUCACCAAGGCAAUGAUCUUUAGGGGUUCUGAGAGGAAGAUCCCCCACACUGGUACUGAGAUACGGACCAGACUCCUACGGGAGGCAGCAGUAGGGAAUAUUGGGCAAUGCCCGCAAGGNUGACCCAGCCAUGCCGCGUGCAGGAAGAAGGCCUUCUGGGUUGUAAACUGCUUUUGGAAGGGAACAAAACGGCUGUGCGCAGCCACUUGAGUGUACCUUCAGAAUAAGCACCGGCUAACUCCGUGCCAGCAGCCGCGGUAAUACGGAGGGUGCAAGCGUUGUCCGGAUUUAUUGGGUUUAAAGGGUGCGUAGGCGGCCUAUUAAGUCAGGGGUGAAAGACUGCAGCUCAACUGUAGCAGUGCCUUUGAUACUGAUGGGCUUGAGUAUAGUUGAGGCCGGCGNAAUUUAUGGUGUAGCGGUGAAAUGCAUAGAUACCAUAAAGAACACCGAUUGCNAAGGCAGCCGGCUAAACUACAACUGACGCUCAGGCACGAAAAGCGUGGGGAUCGAACAGNAUUAGAUACCCUGGUAGUCCACGCUGUAAACGAUGAUGACUCGAUGUUAGGGAUAUACUCUUAGCGUCCAAGCGAAAGCGUUAAGUCAUCCACCUGGGGGAGUACNCCCCGCAAGGGUGGA